ACGCUCGACACCUACGGGAGGCGGCAGUGGGGAAUAUUGCACAAUGGGGGAAACCCUGAUGCAGCGACGCCGCGUGAGCGAAGAAGUAUUUCGGUAUGUAAAGCUCUAUCAGCAGGGAAGAAAAUGACGGUACCUGACUAAGAAGCCCCGGCUAAAUACGUGACAGCAGCCGCGGUAAUCUGAGGCGGGCUGGCAAGGC
RNAcentral lists this ribosomal RNA (199 nucleotides) under uncultured bacterium. RNAcentral describes it as "partial 16S ribosomal RNA". It matches the Rfam family "Bacterial small subunit ribosomal RNA", at positions 328 to 539 of the family's 1533-position model. The record is from RNAcentral.